GAUCCUGGCUUAGGCGAACGCUGGCGGCGUGCCUAACACAUGCAAGUCGAACGGAGAUAUUAAUGAAGCUUGCGAUUUAAUAUCUUAGUGGCGGACGGGUGAGUAACGCGUGGGUAAUCACCUUUUAGUGGGGAACAACAGUUGGAAACGACUGCUAAUACCGCAUACGUCCCGGAAGGGAGAAAGACGGCCUCUGAAGAUGCUGUCGCUAAGAGAUGAGCCCGCGUCUGAUUAGCUAGUUGGUGGGGUAAAGGCCUACCAAGGCAACGAUCAGUAGCCGGCCUGAGAGGGUGAACGGCCACACUGGGACUGAGACACGGCCCAGACUCCUACGGGAGGCAGCAGUGGGGAAUAUUGCGCAAUGGGGGAAACCCUGACGCAGCGAACCGCCGCGUGAGCGAAGAAGGCCUUAGGGUUGUAAAGCUCUGUUUUAGGGGACGAAAGACUAGAGGAGUAACUGCCUUUAGAGUGACGGUACCCUAAGAGGAAGCCCCGGCUAACUACGUGCCAGCCGCUGC
Molecule: ribosomal RNA, 518 nt
Filed under: uncultured bacterium
Lineage: Bacteria
Description: bacterial SSU rRNA
Rfam family: Bacterial small subunit ribosomal RNA
Source: RNAcentral